Molecule: long non-coding RNA, 179 nt
Organism: Cyprinus carpio (common carp)
Lineage: Eukaryota; Metazoa; Chordata; Actinopteri; Cypriniformes; Cyprinidae
Exons: 3
Source: RefSeq, a predicted model, not a curated record
CAGAGACAGCGUGAGCACGCACUGACAUCAUCACAUCGCUCCGUGUUUCCCUUACAUCAUCAACAACUUCGGUACUGCCCCUUGGAACCAACAGAAGAAACUUGCAUGUUUCCCGAAAGACAAAUUAAUUGUCCUCAUUUUGAAAAGAUGGAUCUCAAAAUCAUACAGUCACUGCUGGG